This 389-nucleotide ribosomal RNA is filed under the name uncultured Antarctic bacterium. Its description in RNAcentral is "bacterial SSU rRNA". It matches the Rfam family "Bacterial small subunit ribosomal RNA", at positions 1002 to 1394 of the family's 1533-position model. The record is from RNAcentral.
AGAGAUAGAGUUUUCUUCGGACAGAUUACAAGGUGCUGCAUGGUUGUCGUCAGCUCGUGCCGUGAGGUGUCAGGUUAAGUCCUAUAACGAGCGCAACCCCUGUCGUUAGUUGCCAGCAUGUUAUGAUGGGGACUCUAACGAGACUGCCUACGCAAGUAGAGAGGAAGGUGGGGAUGACGUCAAAUCAUCACGGCCCUUACGUCCUGGGCCACACACGUGUUACAAUGGUAUGGACAAUGAGCAGCCAUCUGGCAACAGAGAGCGAAUCUACAAACCAUAUCACAGUUCGGAUCGGAGUCUGCAACUCGACCCCGUGAAGCUGGAAUCGCUAGUAAUCGGAUAUCAGCCAUGAUCCGGUGAAUACGUUCCCGGGCCUUGUACACACCGCC